RNAcentral lists this ribosomal RNA (116 nucleotides) under Candidatus Peregrinibacteria bacterium RIFCSPLOWO2_01_FULL_48_20. Lineage: Bacteria; Candidatus Peregrinibacteriota. The record is from RNAcentral. RNAcentral also lists the same sequence under 1 other name.
UCAGGUAUCUAUAGAGAGGGGGAUACACCCGUUCCCAUUCCGAACACGGAAGUUAAGCUCCUCUUCGCCGAUCGUACUGCCUUAUGUAAGGGUGGGAGAGUAGGGCGAUACCUGAA